AGAACGAACGCUGUUCGCAUGCCUAACAAAGCAAGUCGAACGAGACCUUCGGGUCUAGUGGCGCAAUGUUUGCCCAACGCGUGGGAAUCUGCCCUUAGGUACGGAAUAACUCAGGGAAACUUGAGCUAAUACCGUAUAAUGACUCCGGUCCAAAGAUUUAUCGCCUGACGAUGAGCCCGCGUAGGAUUAGCUAGUUGGUGAGGUAAAGGCUCACCAAGGCGACCAUCCUUAGCUGGUCUGAGAGGAUGAUCAGCCACACUGGGACUGAGACACGGCCCAGACUCCUACGGGAGGCAGCAGUGGG
This 304-nucleotide ribosomal RNA is filed under the name uncultured Sphingomonadaceae bacterium. RNAcentral describes it as "bacterial SSU rRNA". It matches the Rfam family "Bacterial small subunit ribosomal RNA", at positions 26 to 358 of the family's 1533-position model. The record is from RNAcentral. Lineage: Bacteria; Pseudomonadati; Pseudomonadota; Alphaproteobacteria; Sphingomonadales; Sphingomonadaceae.